UGAGUGAGAAAACAUGCUAUGGCAGGGUGACUUAAAACUUUUUGUUGAGGAGCCCAAUUAACUAUCUUACCCUUAUGCCCUUGGAAUUGAUGAGGGUAUGCCAUUUUAUUGUCUUCUCUUAUAACCCAAAGAAAAGGUCUAUUGGUGAGGUCUAGUCCAAGGGCAAGUUCAUUGAAUUGGUUUUGGUCAAAAAGAGUGAUACUACCAAAGGCAACAUACAACACAGAACCAUGAGCUUGUUCAUCUAGCCAACUCAUGCAAGAGAGAUCUUCUUCCCAGAAUUGCCCCAAUGAUCUUAGAGUUACAUUAGUUUUGUAAUGAUGAUCACUUCUCAACAACGGACCAAUUGGAAGGAGACUCGGAACAAGGGUUAAUACGUGAGGUUCAAGUUCAUGUGCAGUAUCACAAAGCCACCAUUGGGUCAAAUUUAAAGCUGGAGUACAGUGAUGCGCCAAGUAAUUAAGGUAAUGAGAACCAUCCAUAAGUCCAGCCAUGUGAAACCAAAAAAGGGUUCUUGUGUCCAUCUCUGGCAUACUUGGUGAUAAUUGAAUUGUUCCUUUUGAAGUUAAUAUGGAUCCUGCAAUGAAACAUGACAUAAUUGAGAAGUAAAAUAUGUUUUUAGAUGGGCAUGGUAUUUAUUAAAACAGGACCAAACAAAAGCAUAAGGUGCCAGACUUUAGAAACAAAAGUAUGAUAGUGUUCUUACCAUCUGAAUCUAUGAUCCCAUCAUCAACGAGCUUUGGAACACUGCUUACCAAAUGAAACAAAGUUGCAGAGGCAGGCCAAAACAGAGCUCCUUUGAUUCCCAAUUCACAGGCAACGUUCAAUAUCCAUCCCACAUGUACAUCUGCAACAAUGAACCUGAUUCUGUUGUCACCUUUCAAAUGAAUAUUAUUAUUAUCCUCUAUUAGCUUUUUAAGUGCUUCUGGCAUGGUGAUUACCAUAGAAUCACAUAGCUUGCCCACGUCGUUUCUGUCAUCAUUAGGUCCUAAGCCAUCUGAGAUUGAGACCAACUUCAGUGGCGAUUCUUCAUCAUAUUGAUCCACCAUUGAACUCACCACUCUCUUGUGGUUGAAGUCUGUGUUUACAAAUAUGACUCUGCAUCCAUUCUCCACCAGCUUUUGUGAUAGGGUUAACAUGGGAUCACAUGCCCUUGACUUGGAAAUGGGAAAACUAGCACAGUUGGAAUCCUCAUGCUAUGUUCUAGUGUCUGCCUAUUCUUUCAGACCUAGUUUGCACUUCACGGGUAUGGCUUUGUUUAUAUACACUGAAAAUAUGAUUACCAAUUGUUAUAGAUUCAUUGGAUCAAGGAUAAUUGGUAAAUAUCUGGAACCACAAAUUUAAGUUUUGUUUUUAUCUCAAUGAGAGUUGUGUAUGAUUUAGUUAUCUAUAAUGUUAAUAGAAAUGUUAAGAAUUAUGGUUAUUGUUUAUUGUGUAGCCAAAUCAUUUUUUUUCCAUCUUUAAUAUAAUAUGUUUAUACAAAAUUGAGUUUGCUAGUUGAAUUAGAUUGUGAAAGUGCUGGUACCAAACAAUAAGAAAACUUUUCACAUAUUGAUGAACCCAAUUGAUUGAAAAGAGAACCAGAUGCACGUCCUUGGCCAACUAUGCCAGAAUUUGCCCUUUCAAAAGCAAUGGUGUUGUUGUAACUACCACAUCCUAUUAAAAUUCCAGGGGAUUUUUGUUAUUCUGCAUGCGGUACAGAACCCAAUUCUACAGUAUGUUCACCAUAAUGGAAGUAAGCUCUUUCUUCUCCAAUUUUCCUAACGAUCAUGAUGAGAGGGGCAUGUGGAAGAUUUUUCAGCGAAGGGGAAGAGUAAAAGACGUUUUAUUUUAAACAGAUUAAAUGUGAAAGGACAGAGGUUCGGUUUUGUGAGAUUUUAGGAUGUUGUACAUCCACAAGUGGAAGUAUAUAAUCCUUUGCAUAUAUCAGUGAUCUGAGAAUUUUCAUGUUGUCCACAUGGACUGUCUCAAAAAGACGUGUCAGAUUAUGGAAGGCCUCUAUUUGCCUCUUGUCAUCUGCAACGGGUUAAGGAUAUGCAAUUGUCAAUUAUGCUUCAUUUCUAGAUAAAUUCUAUCCUUAUAUAUACUUACUAAAACUCUCAAAUAGCACAUCAAUUCAAAACCCUUUAAAUUGAGUUCAGGCAUUUAUAUAUAUAAAUAUGCAAAUUAAUUAACUUGAGUAUAAUUGUCCCUACCUACAUAUUGGUAGCAAAGAACCAGUUGGUUCUUGAGGUGCUCAUGAAUACUAGUAACUUGUGAGCAAGACUAGAUAAUUCCCAUGCCUCAGUGGUUGAUGAAAUGGACCUGCAAUCAACAAAAUUGGGGCCCCGGCUACAAAACUGCACCGCAAGUCCUCCCACAAGUGAUUUAGGAUAUACAAUGCUUAUGAACCAUUCAUGAACAACACUAUUCAAGUAAAUUCAACUCCUCCAAAACGAGUGAAUGCGUUGAAAAAAAAAACUGCAUUUCCGUUUGUUACAUACACAACCUUUUUAAAUGAACAGUAAAUACACUGUUAAUUUCUCAUUUUAUACAUGUACCUACCUUUAAAGAAUCAAAUUCAUACAAUCAAAAUUUUCUACAGCAUGGCAGUAGCCAGCAGGAAUAAAAAAAGAAUGGAAAUAUGUACUCAGUUCACUAACAUGAAUCUUCCUAGUCCCUCCCCAUCCCAGUUGAUCCACACCCCACACACACACACACUCUUCAAUUUACAACAUUAUCGUUAAACACAAACUAUGCAACUAUGUUCCGUCGCAGCUUCAAGGUUAACGAAUUGCUGGUUGACAAGUCCCUGCGAGAAUUGGAACAACAACAACAAAAGAAGGUACAAGACGAAUCACGAAGCACGGACCACAACCUCAAUCAUAAACCAUAGCCACAAAGAAUGACGGGAACGACGCACUAACGACGAAAAACAAACUGAUAAGAAAAAUUAGGGUUCCGAGAUCGUCAAAUAAAUCACAAACACCACAUGACCAAUCGCGGAACAUUCUACCAUGUUCCGUGCUGGAAUAGCAGAAGCACGUUUUCGUGGUGGAGCAGGAGAAGCAAAGGUCCAGUGAUGUGCGAUGGGAGUUGGACGGAAAUAAGAGUAAAAAAAAGAGAAGAUGGAAAUGAAAGGCGGGUUUAGGGGCUACGGAAGUGAAGAGGAAAGGAAAAGAAAAUAAGGAAAAAAUAAAAAACAAUAGUUUACUAAGGUUUUCAAAUAAACUUCUACCCUUUUUUCCAGAGGUUUUCAAAUAAACAUCGUUAAAUAGACUUUUGAUAUUUAAUAAAGUUUAAGUUUAAAAAAACUUUUCUUAAUUAAAUUUAUUAUGGAAGUUAUAUUAAUCAUUGAUAAAUAAAUUUAUUUUAAUAUAAUAUAAAGUUAUUAAAUGAAAAUUAAUAUAAAGUUUUGAUUAAAUAAAUAUUUAAAAUUAAGUAAACAUUUAUAACUCAACGAAGAUUAAAAAAACUUUCACUAUUUUUCAGAGAUUAAAAUAAAUUUUUGGAAAUUAAUUAAGAUUAUAAAAAACCUCCGUUAUUUUGUGGAGGUUUCAAAAUAAACCUUUGGAAAUUAAUGAAGGUUAAAAAAACCUCCAUUAUUCUACUAAGGUUUUAAAAUAAACCUUUGUAAAUUAACAAAAGUUAAAAAAACCUUCAUAAUUUUGCGAAAGUUUUAAAAUAAACCUUUGAAAAUUAACGAAGGUUAAAAAAAACAUCCGUUAUUUUGCUGAGAUUUUAGAAUAGAUCUUUGAAAAUUAACAAAAGUUAAAAAAACCUCUGUUAUUUUGUUGAGGUUUUAGAAUAAAUCUUUGAAAUUUAGCUAAGGUUAAAAAGCAUCCGGUAUUUUGUUGAGGUUUUAGAAAAAACCUCCAUUAAUUAAAUCAAUCCCUAGGGUUAUAUUAACUUCCGCUAAAUAACCUCCCUUAAAACCUUUUUUGUUGUUGUAGUGUGUAGAUGCUGCUGAUCUAGAAAAAAAGGCUAAAUAUUAUCUGGAUUGGGACAUGGAAGAUGAGUGUAAAUAAACCCAAAUACAAGAGAGUUCAGGAGACUAGGAAGGAGUGGAAUGGAAACCAUAGAACAAAGAAACAACAGAAGGAAUAGAGGCAGAGGGACUAACAUCAAAUGUACGCUUAGGUGGUGGUGAAGGAGAAUGAAAGGAGAGUACAAGGGGUUAAGGCACAAGGAUUGGUUCAUUUCAAAGUUCAGGAUGUCCUGGUAUGUAUACAUUAUUAUUGUUGUCAUAUAUUGAUUUUUAAUAUUAAUUGAUCAAUUUUAAUUUCAUGAUGUUUUAUUGCAGACACAUUUUGAUAUUCCUAAUGUGGAACCGCUGAGAUCGAAGGUGUCAUUAAAUUUCGUCAGUUUAAGUCACAACUAACUAUGAAUUAUGUUUUUGGACGUUAUAAAGGUCAAAAUCCUUGUUUAAAGUACACAAAUAUUGAUGAGGAGACAUGUCGUUUUUUGUUUAAAGCCGUGAAUUUGAAGAGUGGUCGGUAAGUAAGUUACUUAAUUAUUUUAUUUAUGGAUCAUAACAUAAUUACUUAAUAUUAUUUUAUUCACUUUGUUUAUUUCUUUUAUAAUAGGAUCGUCGAAAGAAAGCUUAAGACAUUGCAUUAAAGCAUGUGACCCUGCACCUAAUGUCUCGUUCAGGGGUAUCAUAAGCUUGAACAAUAUUGAUGUAGGAAAAGGAGCAAUCGAGACAUGGGAUUGCUUUUGACAUUGAUACAGGGGUCAACGAACACCACCUACCCGCCGCCAAAAAUGGAAGAUGGCUCGAAUUAAAAAGUCAGGUACAUAUAGUUUUGAGCAAUCACAGAUAGUCUCAGAAAAAAAUUGUAAGUUAUUUUUAUCCUCUUUGGCAUUUAUUUUAAAGCAUUAAUUAUAUUAAAAACUUAUAUGAUUUUGGUCUGUUGCAGGAUUCCUUGGUUGAGCAAAGCUCCUAAGGUAAUUUUGUACCUCAAGGUUGUCAAGAUAUCCUAGUUGAAACAAUUGGACGACCUAAGCACCCUAGUCCUGUACGUGCAAUUGGAAAAGUGGUUGGAAUUAAAAUUUAUUUCGGAGUUGCACCACGACAUUCAUCCUCCUCCCCCCGUUAGAGAGCAAAGCAUAAAUGAUGAUGAAGAUACAACAAGAAUUAAUGGAGGAGAUGAAAAAGGAAAUGAUCACAUGCGGCUAGAGUUGCGAAAGGAUUUUCUAUCGCAACAGGUUUGUGCUGAGUCGGUUGAGCCGCUUGUUAGUCUCAAUCUCAAAAGCACAUAGGGGAGUUGUGCAACUCCUACAACGUCAGAAGGGGAUGUCAUUGGAAAAGUUUAUCAAAAGGCCAUUACCUUACACAACGUUCCUCUCUCCCCUGAUGUGGUGAAGGUAAUGGUGGAACAAGUACGAGUAACUGAUGUUCGUGUUCCACUACCUACAAAUGAGGUAACCACUCUGGCCGAGGCAUUUCAGACAUUCACAGCCUAACCCAGAUACCUCGUUCGAAUUAUGCCAAAACCCUCGGUAAUAACUUCAUUUUGUUAUAUUAAUUUAUAUUUAUGUAUUACAUCUAAUUUAAUAUAAAUGUUCUUUAUUUUGUAGAAACCUCGUCGGAAACCAAGUCCGAAAAAGAAGCAUGAGGUUCCCAUUGAUGAUCCUAUAACUUCUUUAAAAGUAGCGACUAAGGAGAUUCCGUGGGAUGAUAGCUUUUUUGGAAGAGGCACUAACAUGCCACUGUACAUAUAUAUGUCAGAUUUGUUAGAAUUUGCAGCUGAAAACUAGGAUCUUAAUAUGACUAUAAUUCAAUUUUUUAUUAUGUAAGUAUCUUUACCUAUAUUUCAACUUAUUUUAUGUUAAAUUAUUAUUGAUUAUGCUUUAACUAAUAACUUCUAGGUAUUUUUCUAGAGUUUCUAUUAAUGACGAGAAUGAAGAUGUCUAUGGAUUCUUGGAUUCCUAUCAUAUUAACCCAAUUAAAGCGAAGAAAGCCGAAACUCAAUCAUACAUCACUAACACUCUGAGCAAAAAGGGAUUUUUUUUUAUCAUUGCCCUUAUAUUAAUGAGUAAGUUCAAUUAUAAGUCGUCAAGUAUUACUAUUUCAUGUUUUAAAUAUUUACUAACUCUUUUCAUAGAUGAUAUUGGGGUCAGUGACAGUUACUUGUGUUAUCCACGGUUGAUAAGACUGUUGUGUGGUUUUGUUCAUUGCACAAUAAGCCAUCCACACAUCUGAAACAUAUAAUUGAUGUAAUUACACUAUAAACUUGUAUGUUACUUAAAUGUCUACUAACGCGGUUUUUUAUAUUAAUCAGGGCAUGGCAUGGGUAUAACAUACUCGAAGGUCGACCGAGUGCAAAUUAUAAAAACCUGACAUAGUUGAACUUAAAGGUUUGCAAUUUUUGUCUUCCUCUUUUCAUUGUUUAUCAAUAUUAACUUAUAAUUUCUAUAGAAUUAUAGUGUAAUAGACAACCAGGAGACUACGAGUGUGACUAUUACGUCAUGCAAUGGAUGAUUACCAUUGUAAGAGAUAUUAAAACAGAUUGGGAGCAUGUAAUAAUAUUAAAUUUUUUCUUUAUAAUUCUUUAACAUAUAUAACACUAAUUAAUGUGAACCUUAUUUUGUAAUGGAACUCUUUACGGAUGAAAACCCACUGCCUUUGGCUGACAUAGAAUAUGUGAGACAUGCUUGGACCACAUAUUUCCUUAAUUUCUAUAACUCUACGAUAGCUACUCAAUAGUAUAUGAAUUAGAUAGAUAGAUAGGAAUAUGUAUUAGUGUAUGUAAUACAUAUUUAUUAAUAUAUAUAUAAUUUGAUUCUUUGAAUUUAUGUAUCUGGCUGACUGAGUUUUAACUGAAUAGGUUAAUUUAGUUGAAAAAACAUAUUAAACAAAAUGUAUUAAAAAAAUUCUUAGAAUACAUGGCGAUUAUGACCAUAAUCGCCAUUUAUACCUCAUGGGGAAGGGUAUAAACGACAGUUAUGACAAUAACCGACAUGUAUACCCCCAUCUUUGCUGAGCCUUCGAAAGGGUAUAAAACGACGGUUAUUACCGUAAUCAUCGUUUUAUACCUCUUGCAGGUAUGGUAUUUGGGAGUGUAGGGGAGGUUUUAAGUGGCAGUUAUUACCAUAACUUCCAUUUAUUUAUGUCAUUAACACGACGAUCAUUUAGCCGCCAUCUAUUCAUCAAGAGAAUAGAUUAAUGUUCAUACACAACGGGUCAAGAAUCACCAUUUUAUUGCUAAAUUAACCGUCGUCUUUCACAUUUUCUACACUGCAACUUUUCUUUCAUCAAGUAUAUAGAAAUAAUGAUUUGUUUAUUGUUUAUGUUUCUUUUUAUUAACCAACUAUUUACAAUUUUUUUUCAUAAGCAAAAUAAUUUAGUAGUAAAAGAAAGCUAAACUUGAGCACAAUGUAAGUAAAGCUGUAAAAAAUUGAAAUGACUCCAUUAACCAUUGAGGAUCAUAAACAUAAAUCAUCAUGGUAGACAAAACAACAAUUAAUCUAAACCUAGAAUUAACAAAAACACAAAAUGUCAAAUCUUAUUCUUUUAUCUCCUUCACAAACUUCUUAAGGUUCUCAUAAGAUGUACCUCCUUUUGCUAUGUUGUUCAUCACUUUCUCCUUCAACACCACACACCUAAAUUUCAUGCUCUCAUCAUUACAUAAUUGUUCAACCUUGGUUUUCAACUCUCCGCGUGACACAACUCCAUUUUGAUCUUUGUCAAUUCCCAACCCAACCUUUAACUCAUCACAAAUAUGUGUUUUGUUGUAAGGUUGGUCUCCAAAGUAUGGCCAACACAAGAAAGGUACCCCAUUGGACAAACCUUCCAUGGUAGAAUUCCAACCACAAUGAGUGAGAAAACAUGCUAUGGCAGGGUGACUUAAAACCUUUUGUUGAGGAGCCCAAUUCACUAUCUUACCCUUAUGCCCUUGGAAUUCAUGAGGGUAUGCCAUUUUAUUGUCUUCUCUUAUAACCCAAAGAAAAGGUCUAUUGGUGAGGUCUAGUCCUAGGGCAAGUUCAUUGAAUUGGUUUUGGUCAAAAAGAGUGAUACUACCAAAGGCAACAUACAACACAGAACCAUCAGCUUGUUCAUCUAGCCAACUCAUGCAAGAGAGAUCUUCUUCCCAGAAUUGUCCCAAUGAUCUUAGAGUUACAUUAGUUUUGUAAUGAUGAUCACUUCUCAACAACGGACCAAUUGGAAGGAAACUCGGAACAAGGGUUAAUACGUGAGGUUCAAGUUCAUGUGCAGUAUCACAAAGCCACCAUUAAGUCAAAUUUAAAGCUGGAGUACAGUGAUGCACCAAGUAAUUAAGGUAAUGAGAACCAUCCAUAAGUCCAGNNNNNNNNNNNNNNNNNNNNNNNNNNNNNNNNNNNNNNNNNNNNNNNNNNNNNNNNNNNNNNNNNNNNNNNNNNNNNNNNNNNNNNNNNNNNNNNNNNNNCAUGACAUAAUUGAGAAGUAAAAUAUGUUUUUAGAUGGGCAUGGUAUUUAUUAAAACAGGACCAAACAAAAGCAUAAGGUGCCACACUUUAGAAACAAAGGCAACAAUACAAAAGUAUAGUAAAGUAUGAUAGUGUUCUUACCAUCUGAAUCUAUGAUCCCAUCAUCAACGAGCUUUGGAACACUGCUUACCAAAUGAAACAAAGUUGCAGAGGCAGGCCAAAACAGAGCUCCUUUGAUUUCCAAUUCACAGGCAACAUUCAAUAUCCAUCCAACAUGUACAUCUGCAACAAUAAACCUGAUUCUGUUGUCACCUUUCAAAUGAAUAUUAUUAUUAUCCUCUAUGAGCUUUUUAAGUGCUUCUGGCAUGGUGAUUAGCAUAGAAUCACAUAGCUUGCCCAAGUUGUUUCUGUCAUCAUCAGGUCCUAAGCCAUCUGGGAUUGAGACCAACUUCAGUGGUGAUUCUUCAUUGUAUUGAUCCACCAUUGAGCUCACCACUCUCUUGUGGUUGAAGUCUGUGUUCACAAAUAUGACUUUGCAUCCAUUCUCCACCAGCUUUUGUGAUAGGGUUAACAUGGGAUUCACAUGCCCUUGACAUGGAAAUGGGAAAACUAGCACAGUUGGAAUGCUCAUGCUGUGUUCUUGUGUUUGCACUUCACGGGUAUGGCUUUGUUUAUAUACUCUGAAAAUAUGACUACCAGUUGUUAUAGGCUCAUUGGAUUAAGGAUAAUUGGUAAAUAUUUGGAACCACAAAUUUAAGUUUUGUUUUUAUCUGAAUGUGAGUUGUGUAUAAUUUAGUUAUCUAUAAUGUUAAUAGAAAUGUUAAGAAUUAUGGUUAUUGUUUACUGUGUAGCCAAAUCAAUUUUUUCUUCUUCUUUAAUAUAAUAUGAUUAUACAAAAUUGAGUUUGGUAGUUGAAUUGGAUUGUGAAAGUGCUGGUACCAAAGAAUAAGAAAACUUUCCACCUAUUGAUGGAUCUAAUUGAGUGAUAAGGGAACCAGAUGCUCGUCCUUGGCCAACUAUGCCAGAAUUUGCCCUUUCAAAAGCAAUGGUGUUGUAACGACCACAUCCCAUUCAAAUUCCAGGGAAUUUUUGUUAUUCUGCAUGCAGUACAGAACCCAAUUGUACAGUACGUUCACGAUAAUGGAAGUAAGUUAUUUCUUCUCCAAUUUUCCUAACGAUCAUGAUGAGAGGGACAUGUGGAAGAUUUUUCAGCGAAGUGGAGGAUUAAAAGACGUUGUGAUUUAAAAAGAUUAAUCGUAAAAGGGCAGAGGUUUGGUUUUGUUAGAUUUCAGGAUGUUGUAGACGUUGCUAAUCUAGAAAAAAAGCUUAAUAUUAUCUGGAUUGGGACAUGGAAGCUGAGAAUAAAUAAACCAAAAUACAAGAGACUUCUGGAGGUUAGGAAGGAGUGGAAUGGAAACCAUAAACCAAGGAAACAACAAAACGAGUGGAGGCAGAGGGAGCAACAUCUAACGUACGCUCAGGUGGUGGUGAAGGAGAAUAAAAGGAGAGUACAAGGGGUUAAGGCACAAGGACUGGUUCAUGUCAGAGUUCAGGAGGAAAAUGCAAAAUGGCUGAGAAGUUGCUUCGUAGGAAGAGUGGCGAAGGUGGAGAAGGUGCAGUCCAUGAAGUAGUGUUUCAUUAUGGAUGUUUUCAAGUGUAUUAGAGUGAGGUAUCUAGGGGGGACUACGUUCUGCUGUCUGAGGAUUUGGUAGGGGUGGUACAAAAAGCGUUGGAAGACAAAAAGGAGUGGUUUGCAAAUGUUUUUGCAUUUGUAGUCCCAUGGGAUGACAUCUUUGUAGUGGAGGACAAGAUUGUAUGGGUUAGAUGCAGAGGAAUUUCUUUAAAGUUCUGGAGUAAACAUUGUUUUGAACAAGUAGCAGCCCUCGUAGGGUCAUUGAUAGAAGUCGAUGUUGCAACGUUAUCAAGUACGCAAGGGUGCGUGUGAGGGUUCCUGUGGCCAGAGAAGCAUGCACGGUGAAGAAUGUGAGACUUAACGAAACAUUGUGUAAGCUAGUUAUAGAGGAGGAGACUUCCAUCACGAGUCUCUGCGUAUGCGGUCCUCAUUAUAAGUGGAGGGAGAUGCAUGGAAGGGAGUCAAAUGGUUAUUGGGUCUCGAAAGGCCCAGCGAAGUGAAGGCAGUAUGUUUAGUGUUUUCAUGGGUUUGGGCCCAAGGAAGGUGGAAGUUGAACAAUCAGGGGGUAUUGCAAGCACAUAACCCACGAAAUGGCAGCUAGAACAACGUUUACGUUGGCGAGGGGAGGAAUGGUGCGUUGCGAGUGAGUAAUGGAGGAAGGCAGGUGAGGGGUAAGGUGAAGCUCCUAUUGAGGUUGGGCGCUUGCAGAGGAGAAGGUGUCAUUGUCAUAGAGACAAAAGAGGGUGUUGAAACAUAUCAGUUGGCACAACGGGGCUAUGGCAGAUUUUCCCCAACAACGACGACGUUUAUAAGUGCCUAAUUUCAAUAAUAUUUUAUAUUAAAAUAUAGGUACUUAUGUGUAUUAAUUUCUAAAUUACAUAUAAAAUAAAUUCCUAAUUUAUGAAUUUAUGCCUUUUUUACAUUUUUUAUGAUCUUUAUUUGAAUAAGAACAUUUUAUUCCCAUAUUUGGUGUUAAUUGUAGGUUUCUAGGGAAAAAUGGAGAUUUGGACUAAAGAAGAAUGAUAUAAGCUAAAAAGAGAAUGCUGGAAGGUCCAGAAAGCACAAAAAGAGAAAAAAAAGAGUCCAACCCAGUAGCAGAGUUCUUGCUCAAACAAGCUAUAUCUCGCUUGAGCGAGAGAGCUCCAACAACGUUCUCAAAAAAUCGACUCCUUUCUCGCUCAAGCGAGAAUGCAUCAGAGAAAUUGGGCCAUUUUUAUGUUUUAUCAAUAAACCCAUCAGUGCGACGCAAGAAGUCACAUAACCCUAGUAAAUUAGGUUAAAUAGGGGGCUAAAGGCUCAACCCUAGUAUGCCAGAUUGAGAGAAAAACACAUUUGAGUGAUUUGUAACCAAUUGGGAGAAUGGAAGGUGCUGGAAGUAUGCGUGGGUAAUUCUACCCUUUGGGAUUGGGAGUAAUAUGUUCGAACUCUUAUGUAUUGAGGUGAUGUUUAAAUAUGAUAUCAUAUUUUGUCCUUGAUUGAUUAUUGGUAUUGUUGUUUUUCUUCUAAAUAGUGGUGACAUGUUUGAGAAUCUUGAAUUAGACUGGGAGGUAUUUUCAGGGUUCUGACCUAAACAACAAUACUUAACAUAUUUGAAUGUUAGAGAUAACUUGAAAUGUCAAUUGCUAUUAACGUCUGAGCGCGACUCUGAGUUGUUUUUAUAAGUAUGCGAGAGUUCGAUAUUUAGGAAACAUUCUUAAGAAUUUUAUAUGCGAGAGAUUGAUAUAAAUGAUUUUUCUACAGACAUCAAUUUCAAUAAAAGAACUUAAUGUUAACAUGCUAAUCAAAAUACAUGAGAGUGAGCAAGAUGAAACCUAAUCCCUAUUUGUCCAAUUGAAGCAAUUACUCUUUGAUUUGUUUUCUUGUUAAUUGUUGCCAUUAUAACAAUUUUCAAACCAAAUUUUUAUUGUUUUGUUUUAUAUUUAGUGAAUAUUGUACUUGAUAAUUCAAUUGUUCCUUGUGACAUUGAUAUUCAUUCUUUAUUACUUCUAACAACGCGAUGUACUUGCUGUAAAAAGUCAUCAGGCGUCCCCGGCUUCUCCCCUGCAUUCAUUUGGAGAAGGCAGCGAGCAAAGGGGGCGGAUAAGGGUGAAAAUUUUAAGUCUUCGAGCUGCAAUGGAAAGGCAGCCACGGAGGAGAAGGAAGACAACGACUUAAGGGGAUGUGCGACUUUGGAGGAAGGUGAUGGUGGUUGGUGCAGGGGAGAUGCGGACGUGAAGUUCGCUGAAAUUUUAAUCGAAGCUAAGGGAGAUGGAGAUUUUUCAAAAAGAGGAGCGGAAGCGAGAAUAUUGACGGGGGCCACACCGACAAACUUUUCGGUGCAAAAUCAACGGGAAAUAAGGUUAGAUUCUUAGAGCUCAAUCAAUUGCUCUACUCAUAGUGCACUUAGGAAUUGUAAUAGGUUGUUUUGGAUUAAAACGAGUACUCGAAAGCUGAUAGAAUUUGGAAUGUUGGUAAGGAGGUGGGGUUUUCCUUUCUCGGAGAGGGUGAUGUUGUUAUUGGUAAGCUACAAGUCAUGGAGGUUAGAGACAAAUCUGCAGGUAGGAGGGAGGAAAUAAGCAGGGUGGAGAAUAGUCUGUCUAAUGAGUAAGCUAAUUAAUAUGAAUAUAAGGGGAGUAGGGGGAAAUAUUAAAAGGAAAUAUCUACGAGUUGAUUAAGAAAGAACAAGUAUGUUUACAGGAGGCAAAAUGUAAGGAGUUGGGGCAAGAAGAGAUUUUUAAAAUGUGGGGUACUAAUGAAGUGGAUUGGGUUGAAAAUGGAAUUAAAAACAAUGCAGGAGAGGUGAUCACGAUGUGGAGGAGAAGUUGCUUUCUUCUUAGUAAUUUUAUCAAUGAGAAGAAUUAUAGUAUAAUAGAAAGGGAGUGGAGGAUUGGAGAGCCGAUACAGAUCACUAUUGUUGACGUGUAUAAUUCCGGUUCCUUGGAAGAAAAAAGAUAAGUAUGAGAGGAGGUCAGAGAGAGGAGAACGGUGCAUGGAUCAAAGGCUUGGUGCGUGGUUGGGAACUUUAACUCUAUCAGGAGAAUAUGUGAAAGGAGGAAUGCAGGAAACGAUAUUGAUCACAGUAGGGAGAUGAGAAGAUUCAAUAAUUUUAUUGAAAACACUGAGUUGGUUGAUAUUUCGAUGAUGGGAAGAAAGUUUACGUGGUAUAAACCAAACAAUUUAAUCAAGAGUAGAAUUGAUCGUAUCUUGGUGUCGCGGGAAUGGUUGAAUAAGUAGCCUAACAGUAAACAUCUCGUUCUAAACAGAUCGGUGUCUGAUCAUUGCGUCCUGGUAUUAAAAACAGAUACUACGGAUUGGGGACUGAAACCAUUUAGGUCGUUGGAUAUAUGGAAAAAUGACGACAAAUUUAUGGAUUUCGUUAGAGUGAAAUGGGGAAGUUAUGACGUGCAAGGAAGUGAGAUCUUUGUCUUUAAAGAGAAGUUGAGAAUGUUGAAAGUUGAUCUUAAAACCAGGGAUAGAGAGGUGUUCGAUAAUGUUGAUCAGUUGGGGGAAGAUUUACAGAAGAAAGUUUAGGAGUCUGAUGCAAAGGAUGAUGAGGGCGAGUUGGAUGAGGAAGGAAGAGAGGAAAGAAAAUGGCUUUUAGCAAAGCAGAGAAGAAAUAAUCACGGACAUGAAGCUUUAUUUCAACAUAAGAUGCGCCAUGGAUGGUUGAAUCAGGGGGACUUGAAUACAAGAUAUUUUCAUUCGGUAAUCAAAUAGAGGAGAGCAAGGAACAACAUUAGUGGGCCGAGAGAAAAUGGCCAAUGGGUUGACGAGCAAGGUGAGGUCAAGAAAAAGGUUAGAGAUUUCUUCCAACAAAGGUUUGGUGGUGAUGCUUGUAAAUGUGUCAGGAUUGAUAAUGCAAGGUUCAACAGGAUUUCAGAAGAAGACAAUGAUAUGUUGGUAGGAAGAAUAAUCGAAGAGGAAAUAAAACAUGUUGUUUGGUGUUGUGAAAGUGAUAAAAGCCCGAGACCGGAUGGAUUUAACUUUGGCUGCAUUAAGUUUUGUUGGGAUGUUUUUAAGGUCGAUAUCAUUAGGGCAAUUCGUGAUUUUAAGGAAGGAGGAAGAUGGCCAAGGGGGACGAAUGCUUCGUUUAUCUCCUCCUAAAUAACCCGCAAAAAUUUGAACGAUUUUAGACCAAUUUCUUUGAUUGGCUAUCUAUACAAAAUUGUGACUAAAAUUUUGUCUUUGAGGCUGAAAAAUGUUUUGCACAAAGUUAUUGACAGUAGGCAAUUUGUUUUCUUGGAGGGUAGGGGGUUAAUGGAUAGUGUUUUAGUGGCAAAUGAAGUUUUGGAAGAAGUGAAGAGGAGAAAGACCAGUUGCUUUUUUUUUUCAAAGUUGACUAUGAAAAGGCAUAUGACUCGAUCAUUUGGGACUUUAUCUAUUACAUGAUGGACAAGUUAGGUUUCUGCGGAAAAUUGAUUGAAUGGGUAAGGGCAUGUCUCGAAUCAUCCUCCGUGUCCGUGUUAGUAAAUGAGAAUUCAGACCGAGGAAAGAAUUAAGACAAGCAGAAUUGAGAAAAAGAUUGGCUGGAGUAGUUAGGAAGGCGGUCGAGAAAGAGAUUCUAGAAAACCUGGAGAUUGGAGACAAGUUUGUUAAGGUAAACAUGCUUCGGUAUGCGAAUGAUACCCUUUUUUCUGCAAAGCUAAAGUGCAAAGUGUGUUCGUUAUCAAAGCCAUCCUUAAUUUAUUUGAAUUAGCUUCUGGUUUAAAGAUUAAUUUUGAGAAGAGCAGAAUAUGUGGGGUGGGAGGUGAUUUACAUAUGGGGCAACUUUGUGUAUCUAUUUUGAACUGCGCUGUGAUGAAGACUACGUUUAAGUAUUUGGGCAUGCUAGUAGGGGGAUGUCACAAAAGAAGUAAGUUAUAGGAAGACUUUGUCUGAUAAAAUUGGUUCUAUCUUCUCUACCCAUGUUCUAUAUGUCACACACACACAAUAUUUCAAAAUAUUGCCCUCUUCAUAGGAAUUUUAAUAUUUACACAUAUCAAACUAAAAUACUUAAGAAAACUAAACAUUUCCUUUGCUCAUUGUGAAGCUCUCUCAUUUGUAGCAUCAUCUGCUUCCGUAUAAAUACAUGAUCAUCCUAGAUAAGAAAAACAAAUUAUAAAAUAAACAACAUGGUAAACUAGCUAUUUUUAAAAUUUCAAAUAUAAAUUUAACUUAAAUUAACAAGCAUAAAUGCAUCAAUUCUCAUAUAUUUCACAAAGAAAUCAAGUGUGUAUAAAAUUCAUAAUUCAUCUUUCUCAUGUCAAACUUCUCCUAACCCACAACACAUAGACACUUGACUCUACUUUCAGAAGACAAAUGUAUUGAAAUUAGCACUCAGAAACAAACAAUCCUUCAAGAAAAUUGAACUAGUGUCCACGUCACCCGCACAUCCAGAUCUUCUAACCUAGGUUCUAUUGAAAAUUUAAAACUAGCUUCCCUUACCUGACUUUAGUAGGUGUGCUCACAAAGAGCUCCAACUCCUACUACAAUAAAUGAUAACUUAACCUGCAUCACAGAGUCUUAAUCAAAGGUCUAAAUAUAACACUAGGAAUUUGAAUUAAGAGUGGUUAAUCUUGAAGUUAGAAACAUCACAUGAAACAACCUAUACUAAGACAAACCUAACUAGUUAAGAACUGACUCAAAGGAAAAAUGAGCAAAAAAAGAAGAAGAACUUACUCUGUCUAAGAUUCUAAUCGUACCGUCUUGUGGCCUUUGCUGCUAGGAGUCCAAUAAUGGACUCUGAUCGUUAAUAUGAUGAAUGAGGAUGUCGAAAUUUUAGAGAUAAGGUAGAGAAAAGGAAAAUAGAAGUUUCAGAGAGAUGGUAAUUCUUUUAAAAUGAAAUAUGAGUAACUGAAUUUCUUUUCAUAUACUAUUUUCACUUUAAUAAUAAAAUAUUCAAGUUUCAUUUAAAAUAUAUCACUUCUACUCUAAAAUUAGUUUUUAGAUCCUUACCUUCAUCAAUACAUUUAUUUAUUUAUUAUAAAAGUUUUUAGUGGCAUAAGAGUGUAUGAAUACAUUAUACCGUUAACUUCAUCUUCAACUUACAUCAUGUGAAAAUUUCAUUUAAAUAAUGUUUAAAGCUCACUAGUGGAAACUCUAAUGUUAGUUACAAUUACUGUAUAUAGGAACCUAUAAUAAUAGUUUUUUAAACUAAAAAUUAUUGUUGAACUGGACAAGAGUGAGAAUUUACUAAAAAAACCUUCAAAUUAUAAUUUUUAUUCAAUAAUAAUUUUUUUAUAAAUAAAAAUUAAAUUUUGUUAAGAAUUCAGUUGGAUCCCAUAUUUUUUUUUAGUUUUCUUUUUCAACUAUUUUUUUUGUGUGGAUUCUUCUUAUCAUUUGUAGAGUAGCUAGUUACAUGAGCAACAACUUUUUUUGAAAGGGAUGGGAGGGAGGGAGUCUCUUUUCUCAUAUUCCAGUCUCUUUUUCUGCUGGUGUAUGUGCUAAUCAAAUUCCUCUGAUUUGGGAAGUCUUUAUAGUUUAAGUUUUUUAGUGUUAAGUGCUCCCUUAACCCUGUUUUGUAUUGUUGUUUGUUUAAACUAUGGAGGUAUUAUGUAUAAGGAUUGGGACACUCUUUAAGUGUCUCAUUUUUAUUUUAUUAAUUUAAUGCUGAUAAAAAAAAAAAACAACUAUUUUUGAACUAUUUCAUAUGCUUAGAGAAUCAUCAUUCAUUUGAUCUUGAAUUUCUGGUUCCUUGUACUUUUCAGACUUAAUUAAUAUGGACCACGUACCCCAUGAACUAAAUGCACCUAAGUCUUUUGUCUCUUGCACCUCCAUUGUCAGAACCACGUGGCCCAUCACAAGUUUUCACAGUGUCCUUUUAGAAUUUUUCAAUCUUUUCUCAGUUUGCUUUCUUUAUUUGUAUAUGUAUUAUUUGUGUACAUAUUGAAAACUUUAUUGUAUCUAGAUUACAGUAAAUAUAUAUGGUUCUCGAACAUGUGUUUGCUUACAAAACGAUUGCUCUGUUCUUUCCUUUGGUCGUUCGCGGUCAUAUUCAGUUUCUUGCUUCGUCUUUCUCUUUUCGGUCGUUUGGUUUCAAAGGUUGGGAUAGUACUUGCAGAAGGCAUUCCGACGAUCAAGUUAGUCAGAGUAUCGACACUCAGUUGUCAGAGUACUGCAGAUAAUUGACGUACCUGAUUUUUGGAAUAUGUGUUAUUUAUAUUAUCUUAAUGAACCUUUAUUGGUGGGCCGGAUUAAGAUGUUGGCUAAUGUUUAGGAUUUAGUAAACAACUCUUAAUUAUGGAUUAAUCCUGCUGACUUGGUCAACCCAUAGUUCGUCAUCAAGGUCGGUCGAUCAGGUUCUUCACAUGACCUUCUUAUCAUGACCGAGUGAUCGAGUUCAUGACCGACUCACUUAGUGGUUCGAUCGUGUGCCAGUACAUACAUUUUUUUACUUUAAAGUGAUUCAUAAUUUUUACUAAUAUUAUAUAAUUUUUCACAUUAAAAAUGCGUAUUUUUUUUAUGAUUUUUGAGUUUGUGUUAUUUCUUUUAUCAGUUUAUUAAUAUAAAAGUGUCGGUUCAAAUAAUUCGAAACUUAAGUAUUUAUACACUUUAUUCAAAUUGAUCAAUUCAAUGGGAUGUAAACUAAUUGGGUACUGGAAGGAUAAGAAAGUAAAUUGAACUAUUAUGAAAGACUAUUUAUAUUAAUUUUACCUCUAAAAGUUUAUAUUAUGUUCAUUAAAAUAACUAAUAAGUAGAGAUAAAAUAAAUAACUUUAACUAAGGGUUGAAACUCGAAUUUUUAUUUCAGAGUUGUUAACUUAACAUUUAAAAUCUUUCAAAAGCAUGAACAAUCUUUUAGAUUGGCGCCUGUAAAUAAGAGAAAAAAAAUCAUUAUUUUUGUUUCCUAUGUUUAUAGGAUCUGAAAAAAAAAACUAAUAAGUCAACACAUAAGUAUAAAAUGAAUAUCAAAUUAAAUUUUUCAUCAGUUAUCAUUAAAUCUUUAUAACUGUGUGUUAGUUUGAAUUGGGUCAGUUUAAACAUAAAACCAACUCAACACAAUCAUAAAUAAAACUUCAACUCAACCUAUUGAAUUAAAUUAAAGUUUGUUAAGCUGGCGUUUUUUUUAAUUAGGUUGUAUUAUUAUUUUUUAAUUAGGUUAAUAUUUAAAAGUUAUAAUUUUUAACGAAAAAAAAUUCAAAUUUUUGAUCCAAUCUUAAUCCAACCAUCUCAAAAAUGAUUUGGAUUAAUUGGUUUAACAUGCAAAAUUUAAAAACAAACUUAACCAACCUUAUAUUUUUAAAUGGGUUGAAUAAUAGGUUUUUCUAGAUAUACCCAAUAGAAAACCAUUUAAAAAUUAUAAUGGAUUUUUACCGCUUGAAAAGAGAUUCUAUUAACUUGGAUUCCAUCUUUUCUUUCAUCAAACAUAUAGUGAUAAUGGAUUUUUUUUAUUGUUUAUAUUUCCUUUUGUUAACAAACUUGCUACAUUUUUUUUUCUUAAGCAAAAUAAUUUAGUAGUAAAAGAAACCUAAACUUGAGCAUAAGAUGUAAGUAAAACUGUAAAAAAUUUAAAUGACUCCAUUAAUCAUUGAGGAUCAUAAACAUAAACUAUCAUGGUAUACAAAACAACAACUAAUCCAAACCUAGAAUUAACAUAAGCACAGACUGUGAUGUGAAAUCUUAUUCUUUUAUCUCCUUCUUCACAAACCUCUUAUUCCUUUAUCGCCUUCACAAAGCUCUUAAAGUUCUCAUAAGAUGUUCCUCCUUUUGCUAUGUUCUUCAUCACUUUCUCCUUCAACACCACACACCUACAUUUUAUGUUCUCAUCAUUAAAGAUCUGUUCCACUUUGGUUUUCAACUCUCCGCGUGACACAACUCCAUUUUCAUCUUUGUCAAUUCCCAACCCAACCUUUAACUCAUCACAAAUAUGUGUUUUGUUGUAAGGUUGGUCUCCCAAGUAUGGCCAACACAACAAAGGUACCCCAUUGGACAAACCUUCCAUGGUAGAAUUCCAACCACAAUGAGUGAGAAAACAUGCUAUGGCAGGGUGACUUAAAACCUUUUGUUGAGGAGCCCAAUUCACUAUCUUACCCUUAUGCCCUUGGAAUUCAUGAGGGUAUGCCAUUUUAUUGUCUUCUCUUAUAACCCAAAGAAAAGGUCUAUUGGUGAGGUCUAGUCCAAGGGCAAGUUCAUUGAAUUGGUUUUGGUCAAAAAGAGUGAUACUACCAAAGGCAACAUACAACACAGAACCAUCAGCUUGUUCAUCUAGCCAACUCAUGCAAGAGAGAUCUUCUUCCCAGAAUUGCCCCAAUGAUCU
This 19234-nucleotide long non-coding RNA is filed under the name Phaseolus vulgaris (common bean). RNAcentral describes it as "long non-coding RNA (PVUL_LNC003299)". Lineage: Eukaryota; Viridiplantae; Streptophyta; Magnoliopsida; Fabales; Fabaceae. The record is from RNAcentral.